UACGUAGGGUGCAAGCGUUAUCCGGAAUCAUUGGGCGUAAAGAGCUCGUAGGCGGUUCAACAAGUCGGCUGUGAAAGUCCGAGGCUCAACCUCGGAAUUGCAGUCGAUACUGUUGUGACUCGAGUCCGGUAGAGGAGAAUGGAAGUCCCGGUGUAGCGGUGAAAUGCGCAGAUAUCGGGAGGAACACCAGUAGCGAAGGCGGUUCUCUGGGCCGGCACUGACGCUGAGGAGCGAAAGCUAGGGUAGCAAACGGG
This 254-nucleotide unclassified non-coding RNA is filed under the name uncultured Acidimicrobiia bacterium. Its description in RNAcentral is "contains 16S-23S intergenic spacer region". It matches the Rfam family "Bacterial small subunit ribosomal RNA", at positions 524 to 776 of the family's 1533-position model. The record is from RNAcentral. Lineage: Bacteria; Bacillati; Actinomycetota; Acidimicrobiia.